This 793-nucleotide long non-coding RNA is filed under the name Homo sapiens (human). RNAcentral's name for it is "long intergenic non-protein coding RNA 1535". The record is from RNAcentral. Lineage: Eukaryota; Metazoa; Chordata; Mammalia; Primates; Hominidae.
GAUGCCAUCCAGGCGCACGGCGGGUAUAGUGGUUCCGCAACCUUGGGAUGUUCGGCUGAGCGCCUGCCUAACAUGGGAGCGCCUGCCUAACCCUCCUGACUGGAGGGUCAGCGGCGGGGAGUCCUGGCCUUCAAUCGGCCAUCGCCACGGCAGAAACUGGGGCCCGGGCUGCGUCCAGGCCCUUCCCCGUCCGUCCACAGGUCUCAUGGGCGCCCGGACUGGGGCUGAUGUAGUUUCCCGACCUCUGACACAUAGGAUCUGGAGAUUAAAGGCCCCUGGAUCCUCCUGGAAUCCCUGAUCCCUGUUGCUCCCUGGCGGAGUUUUCUAGUCCCUCUUACUUGAAGCAUGUCUUUCAGAGCCCGGCACCACCCAAGUUGGGUAUCUGCUACACCUCUAUGGUAUUUUUUUCACCUCAUAUCAUACCUUCCUCCCUCACUGGACUUCAGUGUGGGACCUGCAGGUCUCAGGCCUUCUGGGAAGUCCCAGCUUUUCUUGAAUGUUCUCUCUCUCUGGCCAGCUCAGGCUGGAGCAGUGGGUGUUGGUGCCAUCCUGUGGCUAUAGGUGAUAAGCCGGCUGUUCUUCACUGACCUGGUCUUACCUUGAACCCUGGAGUUCUCACAUGCAUGGAUUUAAAUGCUGUGUCUUUCUAAGGGCACAUUAUGGCCAUUUUCCUUAUCUCCCUCCCAAGGGGCUGUUUCCUGUAUUUAUUGACUCCCUGUUUAAAAAAAAUAUAUGUAUAUAUAGACAAAUUGGAUUGUACCCCAUAAACUGCAUGUUUUAAAAAUACUUCAAA